This 451-nucleotide ribosomal RNA is filed under the name uncultured bacterium. RNAcentral describes it as "partial 16S ribosomal RNA". It matches the Rfam family "Bacterial small subunit ribosomal RNA", at positions 28 to 507 of the family's 1533-position model. The record is from RNAcentral.
AGCGAACGCUGGCGGCAUGCCUAACACAUGCAAGUCGCACGGGGGGGCUUCGGCCUCCCAGUGGCGGACGGGUGAGGAACGCGUAGGGACCUGUCGAGGGGUGGGGGAUAACCGCGGGAAACUGCGGCUAAUACCGCAUGACGCCGCGGCGUGACAGCCGGGGCCAAAGGCGAAAGCCGCCCGCCGAGGGGCCUGCGUCCGAUUAGCUGGUUGGCGGGGUAGCGGCCCACCAAGGCGUCGAUCGGUAGCUGGUCUGAGAGGGUGAUCAGCCACACCGGGACUGAGACACGGCCCGGACUCCUACGGGAGGCAGCAGUGGGGAAUAUUGGACAAUGGGCGCAAGCCUGAUCCAGCAAUGCCGCGUGGGUGAAGAAGGUCCUCGGAUUGUAAAGCCCUUUCGGCGGGGACGAUGGUGACGGUACCCGCAGAAGAAGCCCCGGCUAACUUCGUG